This is a long non-coding RNA of Alosa sapidissima (American shad), 350 nucleotides long. RefSeq lists it as uncharacterized. Lineage: Eukaryota; Metazoa; Chordata; Actinopteri; Clupeiformes; Clupeidae. The record is from RefSeq and is a predicted model, not a curated record. The transcript is spliced from 3 exons.
ACCAAAGUAUUGUAAACUUUGAAAGUGUACAGAGAGGUUAUAACAAGACGUGUUUCUGGAGGAAAGGAAUCUUUUGACUUUGUGCAGUGUAGUGUCAAAUCUGUGGGUGCGUUCAUUGCUAAUGCAAACAACGGUCUUGCUCAAAACUCCACCAAUUAACAUAAUUUUGCUCUCAACCGAAAGUUUGAACUUGGUAUCUAUCGUAAAUAGAACAUAAGUUGUUUUUACUCCGUAAUGUUCCUUUAAAGCCUCCUGUGUAAGAAUUUCUCCCAUCUAGUGGUUAGGAGUUAUAUUGCAACCAACCUCUCAAGCGCUGCCUCGUUUAGAACUAUGGUGUGAUAAAUGAUAAA